UGGGGGGUUGUUGAUACCAUGUGCUUAGUGUCGAGUCAGGGUUUGGAAGCAUUUUUCUCAGUGUUCUUGCUCUCCCAUAAGGUAAGCAGUCCCUGCAUGCCUGAGCCUUAAAAAAGAUCUUUCUCUAUGUUCUUAUCCCUUCCAUACUGUUGUAAUGCAAUUACUUUUUAUCCUGUGUUUGGCUUAGGAUGGAGCAUAGGAGUAGUGUUUCUGUUUGCUUGGUACAACAUUGGUUUUGGGCAAUUCCUCUGUGCUUAGGCCUCAUUGGUGGAUCUCUUAAUUUCCCUGACCCUCUUUCUCAACCUGGGGCAAACAUACUUUGCUUUAUGUCUAUGGUGGCUCUUGGUCAGGAUAAUUUUUCUUCUCUACCCCAACUGUUGCUUUGUGCCCAUGCAAGAUCCUGAGCUCAGUAAGUUUUACUACACUUCCCCAAAUGCAGUGCAUCUUUGUCUAGGUGCUAGUAGCAGGAAGGUUUGCUGAGACUCCCCCGAGAACUUAAAACUUUGUUUCAUAUGAGAAAGGUUACAGGAAAGUGAAAAGUUUUUGAUGUCUGUCUUCUAGUAGAAGUCAAUCACUACCUGCAUACCUUUGAUACUAUGGGACUAUAUCUCUCCAGACUCCUUAUCCUCUCCAGCCUUUCUCAGAAGAAUCCAGUAGAGUUAUUUUCCCUGAGCACAUUGAAGACUAUUCCAUUGUCUUGUGCUUCCAACACAGAUAUUUGGAUAAUUGCCUCCUUUUUGACUUGCUGAGUCUUCUGGCCUUCAAUUUACUCCUGUGCUGGAUGCUUCCUGCCAUUGUAUAUCACAUUCGAAGUUCUUCGGCUUUUGGACUCUUGGACUUACACCAGUAGUUUGCCAGGGGCUUUUGGGCCUCUGGCCACAGACUUAAGUCUGCACUGUCGGCUUCCCUACUUCUGAGGUUUUGGGACUCUGACUGAUCCACCACUGGCUUCCUUGCUGUUAAACUUGUAGACAACCUGUCAUUGGACUUUACCUUGUGAUUGUGUGAGUCAAUUAUCCUUAAUAAACAC
Molecule: long non-coding RNA, 1030 nt
Filed under: Homo sapiens (human)
Lineage: Eukaryota; Metazoa; Chordata; Mammalia; Primates; Hominidae
Description: HSALNT0075895
Source: RNAcentral